RNAcentral lists this non-coding RNA (164 nucleotides) under bovine gut metagenome. The record is from RNAcentral.
AAUUUGGUUUCACAUAGCGUGAAUUAAAAGGGAAUCAGGUGAGAAUCCUGAACAGACCCGCUGCUGUAUUUCCCCUUUAAGUUGUCACACACAUAGCGUCACUGUCAUCAUUGAUGGGAAGGCCGUGCCGACAAUGGGAUAAGUCAGAAGACCUGCCAAGUUGG